This 497-nucleotide ribosomal RNA is filed under the name uncultured bacterium. RNAcentral's name for it is "partial 16S ribosomal RNA". It matches the Rfam family "Bacterial small subunit ribosomal RNA", at positions 28 to 507 of the family's 1533-position model. The record is from RNAcentral.
GAUGAACGCUGGCGGAGUGCCUAAUACAUGCAAGUCGAGCGAACGGACGAGAAGCUUCCGUCUCAGAUGUUAGCGGCGGACGGGGGCGUAACACGUGGCUAACCUACCUAUAAGACUGGGCUAACUUCGGGAAACCGGAGCUACUACCGGACGAUAUUUUACACCGCAUGGUUCAAAAGUGAAAGACGGUCUUUCUGUCACUUAUAGAUGGAUCCGCGGUGCAUUAGCUAGUAGGUAAGGUAACGGCUUACCAAGGCAACGAUGCAGAGCCGACCUGAGAGGGCGCUGGGCCGCAUGGGAGCGGAGACACGGACAGGACUCCUACGGGAGGAAGCAGGAGGGAAUCUCGCGGGAUGGGCGCAGGUCUGACGGAGCAAGGCCGCGUGAGUGAUGAAGGUGUUCGGAUCGUAAAACUCUGUUAUUAGGGAAGAACAUAUGUGUAAGUAACGGUGCACACUUUGACGGUACCUAAUCAGAAAGCCACAGCUAACUACGUG